UGCGUAGGUGGUGAGGUAAGUCGGAUGUGAAAUCUCCGGGCUCAACCCGGAAAUGGCAUUGGAAACUACCUUGCUGGAGGAUUUGAGGGGGGAUUGGAAUACUUGGUGUAGCAGUGAAAUGCGUAGACAUCAAGUGGAACACCAGUGGCGAAGGCGAAUCCCUGGAAAAUACCUGACACUGAGGCACGAAAGCUAGGGGAGCAAACA
This 207-nucleotide ribosomal RNA is filed under the name uncultured bacterium. RNAcentral describes it as "partial 16S ribosomal RNA". It matches the Rfam family "Bacterial small subunit ribosomal RNA", at positions 568 to 774 of the family's 1533-position model. The record is from RNAcentral.